GUCCAUGGUCGUCACACAUCAUCUCUAUAAGCAUGUGUCCAGGGUAUUCCAAAUCUUUGACAAUUAUUGGGCAUAUCUGGUCCACGCUUCCCAAUUCUAGAGCCCAAGAGGUUCCUUGUUGAUUGCUAGAUUUUAUUGGAGGUGACUGAAGGUUCUUGUCAGGGGCUACCUCUGUCUGAGCCUGGAACCUUAAUUUAUCAGCCUGAUCAGUAACACUUCGCAGAAACAGCAUGUGCUUUAUGGUCUUAUCUAGUAAACCAUCAAUGCUACAUUUGGCACCACUAGGGACAAGUUGCCGCAAUUCCUUAAGCCGGUCCUGAAUUAACUGCCUAUCUCGUGGUCUGGGCUUAUGACUAUCACCAGACCGUCUCCUUUUCUUGUUAGUAUUAGAUAUUUUUGACUCCUUGUGACAAUCCAAAGAGCUGAAGACUUUUGUCUGAUGAUGUCCCUCAUCAAAUGUACUGACAACAUAAUCAAAUGAAGAAGCAGAAUGUGGACAGUUAGUCGAAGCAUAUUUGUCUACCCCAGCAGAAGCCGAUGUAAGAGUGCUU
RNAcentral lists this unclassified non-coding RNA (551 nucleotides) under Hevea brasiliensis (rubber tree). Lineage: Eukaryota; Viridiplantae; Streptophyta; Magnoliopsida; Malpighiales; Euphorbiaceae. The record is from RNAcentral.